CUACGGGUUGCAGCAGUGAGGAAUUUUGCGCAAUGGGGGAAACCCUGACGCAGCAACGCCGCGUGAGCGAAGAAGGCCCUCGGGUCGUAAAGCUCUGUCAAGUGGGAAAAAAAUCCUUUGAUCAAUAGCCAAAGGGCUUGAUGGUACCACUGGAGGAAGCACCGGCUAACUCCGUGCCAGCAGCCGCGGUAAUACGGAGGGUGCAAGCGUUGUUCGGAUUUACUGGGCGUAAAGAGCGUGUAGGCGGUUUAGUAAGUCAGAUGUGAAAGCCCCGGGCUCAACCCGGGAAGUGCAUUUGAAACUGCUUCACUAGAGUAUGGGAGAGGAGAUUGGAAUUCCUGGUGUAGAGGUGAAAUUCGUAGAUAUCAGGAGGAACACCCGUGGCGAAGGCGAUUCUCUGGACCAAUACUGACGCUGAGACGCGAAAGCGUGGGGAGCAAACAGGAUUAGAUACCCGGGUAGUC
RNAcentral lists this ribosomal RNA (464 nucleotides) under uncultured bacterium. RNAcentral describes it as "partial 16S ribosomal RNA". It matches the Rfam family "Bacterial small subunit ribosomal RNA", at positions 339 to 795 of the family's 1533-position model. The record is from RNAcentral.